This is a transfer RNA of Desulfosporosinus orientis DSM 765, 83 nucleotides long. It matches the Rfam family "tRNA". From Rfam's summary of the family: Transfer RNA (tRNA) molecules are approximately 80 nucleotides in length. The record is from Rfam. Lineage: Bacteria; Bacillati; Bacillota; Clostridia; Eubacteriales; Desulfitobacteriaceae.
GGGCGAGUGGCGGAAUGGCAGACGCGUCGGUCUCAAAAACCGAUAUAUGUGAGUAUGUGUGGGUUCAAGUCCCACCUCGCCCA